This 318-nucleotide signal recognition particle RNA is filed under the name Candidatus Poseidoniia archaeon. RNAcentral describes it as "signal recognition particle sRNA". It matches the Rfam family "Archaeal signal recognition particle RNA". The record is from RNAcentral. Lineage: Archaea; Methanobacteriati; Thermoplasmatota; Candidatus Poseidoniia.
AGCCCAGAAAAGAUGUGGGGCUGNNNNNNNNNNGUACCCUGUGACCCUCAAUCGCCUUUAGGGGGAGCGACAGCUGGUGGCGGCGCACCCAGUGGGCUGUCUAAUCCGCAUUUCAACUGCGAUAUCCUGUCCCUCGGGGUCGCAGGUGAUUGCAGGGGUUUGCCGGAGGGCAGACUUCGGAUCUUUGCCAUGGGGACUGGGUCAGGCCCGGAAGGGAGCAGCCUUACCGUGGACUACCGACGCUCGAGCGGGUUGCGGGGUUGAGAAGGAGUGCGGUGUCGGACACUCUGCCAGGACGACAACACCAGUGGUCUGGCA